UAUGGCAGAUUAGUGCAAAGGCCUUAAAAUCCUUUUAUAAAGAAUAAUUCUUUUAUUAAAA
RNAcentral lists this transfer RNA (61 nucleotides) under Cardiocondyla emeryi. RNAcentral's name for it is "tRNA-Leu". The record is from RNAcentral. Lineage: Eukaryota; Metazoa; Arthropoda; Insecta; Hymenoptera; Formicidae. RNAcentral also lists the same sequence under 3 other names.